This 253-nucleotide ribosomal RNA is filed under the name uncultured bacterium. RNAcentral describes it as "partial 16S ribosomal RNA". It matches the Rfam family "Bacterial small subunit ribosomal RNA", at positions 524 to 776 of the family's 1533-position model. The record is from RNAcentral.
UACGUAGGGACCAAGCGUUGUUCGGAUUUACUGGGCGUAAAGGGCGCGUAGGCGGCAAUUCAAGUCAUCUGUGAAAUCUCCGGGCUUAACUCGGAACGGUCAGAUGAUACUGCUUUGCUAGAGUGCGGAAGGGGCAAUCGGAAUUCUUGGUGUAGCGGUGAAAUGCGUAGAUAUCAAGAGGAACACCUGAGGUGAAGGCGGUUCUCUGGGCAUUACCUGACGCUGAGGAGCGAAAGUGUGGGGAGCGAACAGG